UCUGUGGAUCAGUUCAUGGAUGGACUCAU
RNAcentral lists this non-coding RNA (29 nucleotides) under Mus musculus (house mouse). Lineage: Eukaryota; Metazoa; Chordata; Mammalia; Rodentia; Muridae. The record is from RNAcentral.